Molecule: transfer RNA, 73 nt
Filed under: Apaloderma vittatum (bar-tailed trogon)
Lineage: Eukaryota; Metazoa; Chordata; Aves; Trogoniformes; Trogonidae
Rfam family: tRNA
About the family: Transfer RNA (tRNA) molecules are approximately 80 nucleotides in length.
Source: Rfam by way of RNAcentral
GGCCAGUUAGCUCAGUCGGUUAGAGCGUGGUGCUGCUAAUACCAAGGUCGCGGGUUCGAUUCCCGUUUGGUCU